AAUAGGUUGGCAGAUUUAUGUACUUGGCUUAGAACCAACUUAUAGGACUUCCUCCUACCUAUUU
Molecule: transfer RNA, 64 nt
Filed under: Diopatra cuprea
Lineage: Eukaryota; Metazoa; Annelida; Polychaeta; Eunicida; Onuphidae
Description: tRNA-Leu
Source: RNAcentral